UACGGGGGGGGCAAGCGUUGUUGGGAAUUACUGGGCGUAAAGGGCUCGUAGGCGGCCAACUAAGUCGGACGUGAAAUCCCUCAGCUUAACUGGGGAACUGCGUCCGAUACUGGAUGGCUUGGAUUUGGGAGAGGGAUGCGGAAUUCCAGGUGUAGCGGUGAAAUGCGUAGAUAUCUGGAGGAACACCGGUGGCGAAGGCGGCAUCCUGGACCAAUAUUGACGCUGAGGAGCGAAAGCUAGGGGAGCAAACGGG
Molecule: ribosomal RNA, 253 nt
Filed under: uncultured bacterium
Lineage: Bacteria
Description: partial 16S ribosomal RNA
Rfam family: Bacterial small subunit ribosomal RNA
Source: RNAcentral